AGUGAACGCUGGCGGUAGGCCUAACACAUGCAAGUCGAACGGCAGCACAGUAAGAGCUUGCUCUUACGGGUGGCGAGUGGCGGACGGGUGAGGAAUACAUCGGAAUCUACUUUUUCGUGGGGGAUAACGUAGGGAAACUUACGCUAAUACCGCAUACGACCUACGGGUGAAAGCAGGGGAUCUUCGGACCUUGCGCGAGUGAAUGAGCCGAUGUCGGAUUAGCUAGUUGGCGGGGUAAAGGCCCACCAGGGCGACGAUCCGUAGCUGGUCUGAGAGGAUGAUCAGCCACACUGGAACUGAGACACGGUCCAGACUCCUACGGGAGGCAGCAGUGGGGAAUAUUGGACAAUGGGCGCAAGCCUGAUCCAGCCAUACCGCGUGGGUGAAGAAGGCCUUCGGGUUGUAAAGCCCUUUUGUUGGGAAAGAAAAGCAGCAGGUUAAUACCCCGCUGUUCUGACGGUACCCAAAGAAUAAGCACCGGCUAACUUCGUG
This 492-nucleotide ribosomal RNA is filed under the name uncultured bacterium. RNAcentral's name for it is "partial 16S ribosomal RNA". It matches the Rfam family "Bacterial small subunit ribosomal RNA", at positions 29 to 507 of the family's 1533-position model. The record is from RNAcentral.